UAGGGAAUCUUCGGCAAUGGACGAAAGUCUGACCGAGCAACGCCGCGUGAGUGAAGAGGGUUUUCGGAUCGUAAAACUCUGUUGUUAGAGAAGAACAAGGACGUUAGUAACUGAACGUCCCCUGACGGUAUCUAACCAGAAAGCCACGGCUAACUACGUGCCAGCAGCCGCGGUAAUACGUAGGUGGCAAGCGUUGUCCGGAUUUAUUGGGCGUAAAGCGAGCGCAGGCGGUUUCUUAAGUCUGAUGUGAAAGCCCCCGGCUCAACCGGGGAGGGUCAUUGGAAACUGGGAGACUUGAGUGCAGAAGAGGAGAGUGGAAUUCCAUGUGUAGCGGUGAAAUGCGUAGAUAUAUGGAGGAACACCAGUGGCGAAGGCGGCUCUCUGGUCUGUAACUGACGCUGAGGCUCGAAAGCGUGGGGAGCAAACAGG
This 429-nucleotide ribosomal RNA is filed under the name Gemmatimonadota bacterium. RNAcentral's name for it is "Gemmatimonadetes bacterium partial 16S ribosomal RNA". It matches the Rfam family "Bacterial small subunit ribosomal RNA", at positions 355 to 776 of the family's 1533-position model. The record is from RNAcentral. Lineage: Bacteria; Pseudomonadati; Gemmatimonadota.